Molecule: ribosomal RNA, 254 nt
Filed under: uncultured bacterium
Lineage: Bacteria
Description: partial 16S ribosomal RNA
Rfam family: Bacterial small subunit ribosomal RNA
Source: RNAcentral
UACGUAGGGUGCUAGCGUUGUUCGGAAUCAUUGGGCGUAAAGCGCGUGCAGGCUGUUAGAUAAGUCAGAUGUGAAAAUCCCUGGGCUCAACCGAGGAAGUGCAUUUGAAACUAUCUAGCUAGAAGAUGGUAGAGGAAGGUGGAAUUCCAAGUGUAGAGGUGAAAUUCGUAGAUAUUUGGAGGAAUACCGGUGGCGAAGGCGGCCUUCUGGGCCAUUCUUGACGCUGAGACGCGAAAGCGUGGGUAGCAAACAGG